AGUGAACGCUGGCGGUAGGCCAAACACAUGCAAGUCGAACGGCAGCACAGAGGAGCUUGCUCCUUGGGUGGCGAGUGGCGGACGGGUGAGGAAUACAUCGGAAUCUACUCUGUCGUGGGGGAUAACGUAGGGAAACUUACGCUAAUACCGCAUACGACCUACGGGUGAAAGCAGGGGACCUUCGGGCCUUGCGCGAUUGAAUGAGCCGAUGUCGGAUUAGCUAGUUGGCGGGGUAAAGGCCCACCAAGGCGACGAUCCGUAGCUGGUCUGAGAGGAUGAUCAGCCACACUGGAACUGAGACACGGUCCAGACUCCUACGGGAGGCAGCAGUGGGGAAUAUUGGACAAUGGGCGCAAGCCUGAUCCAGCCAUACCGCGUGGGUGAAGAAGGCCUUCGGGUUGUAAAGCCCUUUUGUUGGGAAAGAAAUCCAGCUGGCUAAUACCCGGUUGGGAUGACGGUACCCAAAGAAUAAGCACCGGCUAACUUCGCGCCAGCCGCCGCGGUAA
Molecule: ribosomal RNA, 506 nt
Filed under: uncultured bacterium
Lineage: Bacteria
Description: partial 16S ribosomal RNA
Rfam family: Bacterial small subunit ribosomal RNA
Source: RNAcentral